RNAcentral lists this transfer RNA (70 nucleotides) under Dipodomys ordii (Ord's kangaroo rat). It matches the Rfam family "tRNA". Rfam says of the family: Transfer RNA (tRNA) molecules are approximately 80 nucleotides in length. Their secondary structure includes four short double-helical elements and three loops (D, anti-codon, and T loops). The record is from Rfam by way of RNAcentral. Lineage: Eukaryota; Metazoa; Chordata; Mammalia; Rodentia; Heteromyidae.
GGUGCUGUGGCUCAGUGGUAGAGCACUACCCUUGCAUGCCUGAGGCCCUGGGUUCGAUUCCUCAGCACCA